GCGGGCGUGGCGGAAUGGCAGACGCGCCAGAUUUAGGAUCUGGUGCCCCAAGGCGUAUGAGUUCGAGUCUCUUCGCCCGCACCA
Molecule: transfer RNA, 84 nt
Filed under: Clostridiales bacterium
Lineage: Bacteria; Bacillati; Bacillota; Clostridia; Eubacteriales
Description: tRNA-Leu
Rfam family: tRNA
About the family: Transfer RNA (tRNA) molecules are approximately 80 nucleotides in length. Their secondary structure includes four short double-helical elements and three loops (D, anti-codon, and T loops). Further hydrogen bonds mediate the characteristic L-shaped molecular structure. tRNAs have two regions of fundamental functional importance: the anti-codon, which is responsible for specific mRNA codon recognition, and the 3' end, to which the tRNAs corresponding amino acid is attached (by aminoacyl-tRNA synthetases). tRNAs cope with the degeneracy of the genetic code in two manners: having more than one tRNA (with a specific anti-codon) for a particular amino acid; and 'wobble' base-pairing, i.e. permitting non-standard base-pairing at the 3rd anti-codon position.
Source: RNAcentral